UACAGAGGUCUCGAGCGUUGUUCGGAUUCAUUGGGCGUAAAGGGUGCGUAGGUGGUCUGGUAAGUCGGAUGUGAAAUCCCGGGGCUCAACCCCGGAACUGCAUUCGAUACUGUUUUGCUUGAGGACUGGAGAGGAGACUGGAAUUCAUGGUGUAGCAGUGAAAUGCGUAGAGAUCAUGAGGAAGACCAGUGGCGAAGGCGGGUCUCUGGACAGUUCCUGACACUGAGACACGAAGGCCAGGGGAGCAAACGGG
This 253-nucleotide ribosomal RNA is filed under the name uncultured prokaryote. Its description in RNAcentral is "partial 16S ribosomal RNA". It matches the Rfam family "Bacterial small subunit ribosomal RNA", at positions 524 to 776 of the family's 1533-position model. The record is from RNAcentral.